GAUCCUGGCUCAGGAUGAACGCUAGCUACAGGCUUAACACAUGCAAGUCGAGGGGAAACGACAUCGAAAGCUUGCUUUUGAUGGGCGUCGACCGGCGCACGGGUGAGUAACGCGUAUCCAACCUGCCCACCACUUGGGGGAUAACCUUGCGAAAGUAAGACUAAUACCCAAUGACGUCUCUAGAAGACAUCUGAAAGAGAUUAAAGAUUUAUCGGUGAUGGAUGGGGAUGCGUCUGAUUAG
RNAcentral lists this ribosomal RNA (241 nucleotides) under uncultured bacterium. RNAcentral's name for it is "partial 16S ribosomal RNA". It matches the Rfam family "Bacterial small subunit ribosomal RNA", at positions 15 to 244 of the family's 1533-position model. The record is from RNAcentral.